Molecule: ribosomal RNA, 585 nt
Filed under: marine metagenome
Description: bacterial SSU rRNA
Rfam family: Archaeal small subunit ribosomal RNA
Source: RNAcentral
GGGGUGAAGCCUGCGUGUUCAAUUUGGAGUCAACGCCUGACCCCUUACCCGGAGAGACAGCAGAAUGAAGGUCAAGCUGAAGACUUUACCAGACAAGCUGAGAGGUGGUGCAUGGCCGUCGCCAGCUCGUGCCGUGAGAUGUCCUGUUAAGUCAGGUAACGAGCGAGAUCCCUGCCUCUAGUUGCCACUAUUACACCCUGGUGUAGUAGGGCGAAUUAGGGGGACCGCCGCAGUUAAUGCGGAGGAAGGAAGGGGCCACGGCAGGUCAGUAUGCCCCGAAACUCUGGGGCCACACGCGGGCUGCAAUGGUAACGACAAUGAGUUCCAAAAUCGAAAGAUAGAGGUAAUCCCUAAACGUUACCACAGUUGUGAUUGAGGGCUGCAACUCGCCCUCAUGAACAUGGAAUCCCUAGUAACCGCGUGUCAUUAUCGCGCAGUGAAUACGUCCCUGCUCCUUGCACACACCGCCCGUCGUUUCAUUGAAGUUUGCCUUUAGCGAGGUGAUGUCUAAUUGGCAUUAUCGAACUUGGGGUAAGUGACAAGGGAAAAGUCGUAACAAGGUGACCGUAGGGGAACCUGCGGUCG